Molecule: ribosomal RNA, 253 nt
Filed under: uncultured bacterium
Lineage: Bacteria
Description: partial 16S ribosomal RNA
Rfam family: Bacterial small subunit ribosomal RNA
Source: RNAcentral
UACAGAGGGUGCAAGCGUUAAUCGGAAUUACUGGGCGUAAAGCGUGCGUAGUCGGUUAUUCAAGUCGGGCGUGAAAGCCCCGGGCUCAACCUGGGAAUUGCGUCCGAUACUGUCUAGCUAGAGUUCGGCAGAGGGAAGUGGAAUUUCAGGUGUAGCGGUGAAAUGCGUAGAUAUCUGAAGGAACAUCAGUGGCGAAAGCGACUUCCUGGACCAGAACUGACGAUCAGGCACGAAAGCGUGGGGAGCAAACAGG